Bactrocera oleae (olive fruit fly) is the source of this 2343-nucleotide long non-coding RNA. RefSeq lists it as uncharacterized. The record is from RefSeq and is a predicted model, not a curated record. NCBI's taxonomy places the organism in Eukaryota, Metazoa, Arthropoda, Insecta, Diptera, Tephritidae.
CUGAAAAAAUUAUUAUAGCAAAUCAUUCCUGUUUGUAAAUAAAAUUUGAAAAUUGAAAAAAAAUUAGUUUGCAGAUAUGAUUGUUUGACGAAAAAUCUCAAAAUGUAACAAAACAAAAACGCUUUAUUGGCGUAAAUCAGAGAAAUUUGGGCUUUCCGGUUACCACCACCAACACGCGGAUGAUCAUCGCGAUAUACUAUUCGUGGAUUCAAUGCCGCGGAAAGAACUAGUAAACUAUCAAUACGCAUUAUCAAUCAACAUCUUCGAUUUAUUCAAAUAUAUACUAAAAUUUGCAGCAUUCUGAAUGAAGUUCACUAACGGAUCUUGAGUACGGAUUCUUUCUUGAAUAGACCGCAGAGCUCUAAAUGUCUCGAUUUGGUGAAAAUAAUUACAUUAACACACUUCGUUUUGUAUUUUAUGUGCUUGUUUAUGUAGCGUAAUCCGAUUUAAUAUUCGCGUAUAUGUCUAUGUGUAUGUAUGUGGCUUUGAACUUUUUCAUGCUUUCUGCCACCAUAACUUAUGUAUUUAUUCAAACUAAGUAUUAUUUACAAGUUCGAAUAAAAUAAUCUUUCUGCGCUUACAAAACGCAUGUAAUAACUAUAUUUGGGCCUUUUAAAUGGGUUAACAUGAAUUUUUCUAUCAUGCUUCUACUGUGCGCGUGGAUUACACCAGUUUUAGAUUUCCAAAAGCCGUAACAAAUGUAUCAACAAACAGUUUACGAUUUCCUUUUUGUUUUCGUUCAGCGUCGUCGCGCACACAAAAGCGUUGUCUCGACUAAAACUGGUAGGUAUUCAAAGUGAUUGUCAAAACAUCUCAUCAAUAGCCGCAGCGGCUCAUAAAAUGUGUGACAAAUGGAUCGCGCUCGGAACUCAUUAGUUGAUAUAAUGUUCUAUUUACAUAUACAUUUAUAAAACAUACAUACAUACAUUUAUGUCAGAGUAUAUAAAGUUACUAUUUAUGAAAACGACAGCUUGGUGAAAUGAACCGAAGGCGACACUAGCUUCAGAGCCACCAUCGACGACUCAUUAAACGACAAUAAACACAAAAGCGCAACAGGAAGUUUGAUUCUCUUUGAAAUAACCAAAUAUUUACAAAACAAAAUGUAAAUCAAUGUGCCGUCCAAAGCGGGCAUUGUAUCUGUACGCCGCUCGGUGUAUAGGUGUAUCGUUGGCAUUUCUGGUGAUUGGCAGUAGGUGCGGUAGGUAGAACAGAGAGGGAUGCCUAUUUGUAGAUGAAUGAACCAAUAAAUGUUGAAUGAGCCACAUUUUCAUGCAAAUGAAUUGGCUAGCACAACAAUCACAGCAACAACAAACGAGCGUCACUGUGGCUCGAGAUGCUGGGCGGCCAAAAGCGCGUUUGUAUCGUCGAAUUGUUUCGACAUGAGCAAUGCAAUUGUUGGAAACUACCGAACAACCGAACUCAGUGAAUGAGUUUGCAUGGGCAGACACUUUGCUGCAGUGGUAGGUGCAUUUUAUGGUGGUUGAAUGGUGAAUGCGCAUCGUAAAAUCAUGGUGUGGGCUCUAAGCCGCGGUCGUUGCACACAACGAUUUCUAGAGAAUGCUAAUCCAAAUGAAUAGCUUCCUUAAUGGCCCAGCCGCUGAACGGCCGGCUGCUCGGCACUUGGUAUAGUCGUUGGCCGCAGUGCCAGAACUCCGAUCAUUUUGGUGUUUCGAAAACUAGAAAAGUUGCUUAAAUAUAUGAAAUGUUAUUGCAAGUUGCACACAAAACCAAAUAAGACAACAACAAGUGCGGCACAUUCGAAUAUUGCUUGUAGCAUGCACGUGUUGGAGGUGUGAUGCAUAUAUCUGGAGUCAUAUAUGUUUGAAUUCGUAAACACAUUCAAGCCUUAGACUUUGUCUUUUUUUGUGGAACGUAAACACCGCAAGCAUACAGCAUACAUGUGUCUAUUUACACACACACGCAUGUGUGUCAAAUGACAAUGUGUGCGCAUGCGCGUUGUUGCUGCUGACAUUGAGCAUCGUCAUAAAUUUGCAGCUUAUUACCAAUAAUUUCAAGUGGCUUGUUAACAAUUUAACACGUCUUAAUCGUAAAAUUUGUGGUGCUGUGUCUCCAAAAUGCGAAGUAUGCCAAAAUGCGGGGAUAACAACGGCGACAACAAGCUCAAAUUGCUUGAAUAUAAAAUCAUUGCUGUUUGACAGUUUUGAAGGUGUGAAUACGUGAAUUAAAAUGCAAAUACAAAUGCAAACGCAAUGAAUUGCAAGCACAUAAAGCGUCGAGUUCCCUUAAGCAAAAGCACAACAUCACAGAGGGCACAAUUUGGUUGCCACAUUUGGUUGUAAUAUGCAGUUUCGUGUCGGAGCUCAGUCGAAGCCUUCUAUAAAU